RNAcentral lists this ribosomal RNA (208 nucleotides) under Fusarium chlamydosporum. Its description in RNAcentral is "5.8S ribosomal RNA". The stretch from base 1 to 153 matches the Rfam family "5.8S ribosomal RNA". Rfam says of the family: 5.8S ribosomal RNA (5.8S rRNA) is a component of the large subunit of the eukaryotic ribosome. It is transcribed by RNA polymerase I as part of the 45S precursor that also contains 18S and 28S rRNA. Functionally, it is thought that 5.8S rRNA may be involved in ribosome translocation. The record is from RNAcentral. Lineage: Eukaryota; Fungi; Ascomycota; Sordariomycetes; Hypocreales; Nectriaceae.
ACUUUCAACAACGGAUCUCUUGGUUCUGGCAUCGAUGAAGAACGCAGCAAAAUGCGAUAAGUAAUGUGAAUUGCAGAAUUCAGUGAAUCAUCGAAUCUUUGAACGCACAUUGCGCCCGCCAGUAUUCUGGCGGGCAUGCCUGUUCGAGCGUCAUUUCAACCCUCAAGCUCAGCUCGGUGUUGGGACUCGCGGUAACCCGCGUUCCCCA